AUCAGAUACUAUUAAAUAUAUAAUACUGAAAUAUCACAUAUAUUAGAGAGAGAGAGAGUGAGACACCACAUCUUCGUGAUCCAUUCAUCUGUUGAUGGACAUCCCGGUUCUUUCCAGUUGGGCUAUUGUGGACGUUGCUGCUGUAAACAUUCGGGUGCACAUGCCCCUUCGGAUCACUGCAUUCGUAUCUUUACGAGUGGCCGCACCAGCUCGCAUUCCCACCAGCAGUGCAGGAGGCUCCCCUUCCUCCGCAUCCUCGCCAGCAUCUGUCGUUUCCUGAGUGGUUGAUUUUAGCUAUUCUGGCUGCUGUGAGGUGGGAUCUCAUUGUGGCUUUGAUCUGUAUAUCCCUGAUAUCGAGUGAUGUGGAGCACGUUUUCAUGCAUCUUUUGGCCAUCUGGAGAAGUGUCUUCUUUGGAGAAGUGUCUGUUCACCGGAAGCUCCUUUAUCCCAGCCUGGCGCGGACGUGGUGCAGGAAGAGGGAGUCGAGGAUCCGGGCAACCCCACUGCCGCCAGCGACAGCAUCUCCACCUGCCGGUGCCUGUUGCGGGGCUGGGUGGCCAGGCAUGGUCCACAAGGUGGUGGCAGCCAGCACGACCUCGGAAGGGGCUGGGAGAGUGAGCGUUCCCGCUGCCUAAAGGAGGGGGCUCUUCUGGCCUAGCGGCAGCAGGAGCCACACAAUGAAAACCGGGGAGGCCAGAAUCCAGGGACAGGGGUGAGUCAGCAAGUGCAUCAAGCCGGGGCUGAGCCUGGGGCAGGGGGUGGGGGGCAGUGCACAUGGAGGCCAGGGGCCCUUGGGGAGACAGCGGAGACAAUGUCGUGGGAGAGGGCGGGGCGCGCAGCAGGGAGCCCCCAGGAAAGGGCUGAAGACAGCAGAUUCCGGGUGGCAUGGGAGCCCGCGUAAGGGGAGCAGUGAGGUUCACAGGUUCGAGGCCAUGAAGGACUUCCUUCCCUCACCCGGGCGCUUCUAAUGGGGUGGCUCUGCGCUUUGCCUGUCCUUCCCUUAGUUACAAGGAGUAUUUAUCUCACAUCGUCAUUUCCUUUCUGCGGGUCUGCUCAGGGCGGUUUCCACUUGUUAACAGGCAGGUUCUGGGAACAGCGAGCUCCAGGGAGUGGGGUGGGGGCUUCACAGUGCCAGCCGUGGAGGGGGCCGCCUCUGACAGCUGUGUUCCAGGAGAUGGGGCAGCGACUGCCCUAAAGCUCGAUGGACAUGAUGACAAUUUUAAGAGUUCCUCUAACUAGGAACUCCCCGAGUCUCAGGGUUAUGGAGGAGGGCAUUUCUGCCAAGACUAGAGACCUUAGCUCAAAGGAAUGACAGGCUCAGGGCAGUGAACCUCCAGCCCAGCUCCUCUCAGAGCGGCAAUGUGGCAGGCAGAAUUCAAAGGCCCCCAAGGAUGCCUGCACUCCGGGACAUACCCUGUGUAAUCCAAGAAGGGAAGGGGCUUUACAGCCACAAUAAAGUUAUUUAUACGUAA
Mustela lutreola (European mink) is the source of this 1472-nucleotide long non-coding RNA. RefSeq lists it as uncharacterized. The transcript has 2 exons. The record is from RefSeq and is a predicted model, not a curated record. Lineage: Eukaryota; Metazoa; Chordata; Mammalia; Carnivora; Mustelidae.